GAUGAACGCUGGCGGCGUGCCUAAUACAUGCAAGUCGAGCGAACAGACGAGGAGCUUGCUCCUCUGACGUUAGCGGCGGACGGGUGAGUAACACGUGGAUAACCUACCUAUAAGACUGGGAUAACUUCGGGAAACCGGAGCUAAUACCGGAUAAUAUAUUGAAUCGCAUGGUUCAAUAGUGAAAGACGGUUUUGCUGUCACUUAUAGAUGGAUCCGCGCCGCAUUAGCUAGUUGGUAAGGUAACGGCUUACCAAGGCAACGAUGCGUAGCCGACCUGAGAGGUGGAUCGGCCACACUGGAACUGAGACACGGUCCAGACUCCUACGGGAGGCAGCAGUAGGGAAUCUUCCGCAAUGGGCGAAAGCCUGACGGAGCAACGCCGCGUGAGUGAUGAAGGUCUUCGGAUCGUAAAACUCUGUUAUUAGGGAAGAACAAAUGUGUAAGUAACUAUGCACGUCUUGACGGUACCUAAUCAGAAAGCCACGGCUAACUACGUG
This 497-nucleotide ribosomal RNA is filed under the name uncultured bacterium. RNAcentral's name for it is "partial 16S ribosomal RNA". It matches the Rfam family "Bacterial small subunit ribosomal RNA", at positions 28 to 507 of the family's 1533-position model. The record is from RNAcentral.